Long non-coding RNA from Vicia villosa (hairy vetch), 620 nucleotides. RefSeq lists it as uncharacterized. The record is from RefSeq and is a predicted model, not a curated record. The transcript is spliced from 4 exons. Lineage: Eukaryota; Viridiplantae; Streptophyta; Magnoliopsida; Fabales; Fabaceae.
UUUUCUGAGCCUUAAUGUCGAGCUAGACAAAUUUUGUUGGAUUAAAAACAAAUUAUUAGUGACCGAAGACAGCGGACAAAGAUUGCUUAGGAAAUUCCUCCUCAAACACAAGAUUCUAAUUCGUUAGAAUUUAUUUCCAUUACAAAUGAGCUUUGGGAGGAUUCACUGAGUAAUUCAACAAUAGAAGAUUUUCAUCACAAGAUUCACAAUGCCCAAAAAGUUCUUAGAAGUGCAUUUGUUGAGCUCAACGAAAGCCUUGAUUCACGCAAGAUUUUACAGAGCAUCAAAUUAAGUUUGAAAUGAGAAAGAGAAAAACAAUGGAUCUUGCGUCAAUCUCAUCUGCACCUACAACUUUGAUUUCUUUGAUUAAGAAUGUUGAUAGUUGCUUUUGCUGGGGUCAAUCCCGUGUUGCAUAAUGUUCUUGAUAGAAACAUUUGAGCUUUUAUUUGAAUUAAAGAUCUAAAUUCAAUUAUUGUAUAUAGCGGUUUGUUUAGGCCCUCCUGGUGGUCAAAUUGUAAAUUGUGACCACAAUGCUUUAUUGUAUCUAAUAUUUUAUAGUUUUUUCACCGAUGAUUUCCACAAAUUGUAAAUUGUUUAUUUCUAAUGCCAUGCUCACACUA